RNAcentral lists this ribosomal RNA (668 nucleotides) under uncultured Clostridium sp. RNAcentral's name for it is "bacterial SSU rRNA". It matches the Rfam family "Bacterial small subunit ribosomal RNA", at positions 28 to 724 of the family's 1533-position model. Lineage: Bacteria; Bacillati; Bacillota; Clostridia; Eubacteriales; Clostridiaceae. The record is from RNAcentral.
GAUGAACGCUGGCGGCGUGCCUAACACAUGCAAGUCGAGCGAUCUUCUUCGGAAGAGAGCGGCGGACGGGUGAGUAACGCGUGGGUAACCUGCCUCAUACACAUGGAUAACAUACCGAAAGGUAUGCUAAUACAAGAUGAUAUAAGAGAUUCGCAUGGAUUUCUUAUCAAAGCUCCGGCGGUAUGAGAUGGACCCGCGUCUGAUUAGCUAGUUGGUAAGGUAACGGCUUACCAAGGCGACGAUCAGUAGCCGACCUGAGAGGGUGAUCGGCCACAUUGGAACUGAGACACGGUCCAAACUCCUACGGGAGGCAGCAGUGGGGAAUAUUGCACAAUGGGCGAAAGCCUGAUGCAGCAACGCCGCGUGAGCGAUGAAGGCCUUCGGGUCGUAAAGCUCUGUCCUCAAGGAAGAUAAUGACGGUACUUGAGGAGGAAGCCCCGGCUAACUACGUGCCAGCAGCCGCGGUAAUACGUAGGGGGCUAGCGUUAUCCGGAUUUACUGGGCGUAAAGGGUGCGUAGGUGGUUUCUUAAGUCAGGAGUGAAAGGCUACGGCUCAACCGUAGUAAGCUCUUGAAACUGGGAAACUUGAGUGCAGGAGAGGAAAGUGGAAUUCCUAGUGUAGCGGUGAAAUGCGUAGAUAUUAGGAGGAACACCAGUAGCGAAGGCGG